UACGUAGGGUGCAAGCGUUGUCCGGAAUCAUUGGGCGUAAAGCGCGCGUAGGCGGCCUCAUAAGUCCGUUGUGAAAGUCAAAGGCUCAACCUUUGAAAGCCGAUGGAUACUGUGAGGCUAGAGUCCGGAAGAGGCGAGUGGAAUUCCUGGUGUAGCGGUGGAAUGCGCAGAUAUCAGGAGGAACACCGGUGGCGAAGGCGGUUCUCUGGGCAUUAACUGACGCUGAGGAGCGAAAGUGUGGGGAGCGAACAGG
RNAcentral lists this ribosomal RNA (253 nucleotides) under uncultured bacterium. Its description in RNAcentral is "partial 16S ribosomal RNA". It matches the Rfam family "Bacterial small subunit ribosomal RNA", at positions 524 to 776 of the family's 1533-position model. The record is from RNAcentral.